RNAcentral lists this long non-coding RNA (229 nucleotides) under Vigna radiata. RNAcentral describes it as "long non-coding RNA (VRAD_LNC006159)". The record is from RNAcentral. Lineage: Eukaryota; Viridiplantae; Streptophyta; Magnoliopsida; Fabales; Fabaceae.
CACAACCACAAAAGUAAAGGGUGAGUAACUAAGGACAUAACAUAGCAUAUAAUUUCAAAGACAACAUCAUAACAUAGACUAAAAUAGUCAUCACAUCACAACACAUCUCAGUAUUCAACUCAUAACUUAAAUCAUCACCACCCAGACUAUCAUAGUCAUAACAUUACAAUACAUCACAAUAUUGAACUCACAACUCAAAUCAUUCACACAAGCUUCUGUUGUUUCCUUG